CCUACGGGUGGCUGCAGUGAGGAAUAUUGGUCAAUGGACGAGAGUCUGAACCAGCCAAGUAGCGUGAAGGAUGACUGCCCUAUGGGUUGUAAACUCCUUUUAUAUGGGCAUAAAGUUCAGUAUGUAUACGGUUUUGUAUGUACCCUAUGUAUAAGGAUCGGCUAACUCCGUGCCAGCAGCCGCGGUAAUACGGAGGAUCCGAGCGUUAUCCGGAUUUAUUGGGGUUAAAGGGAGCGUAGGCGGGCGCUUAAGUCAGUUGUGAAAGUUUGCGGCUCAACCGUGAAAUUGCAGUUGAUACUGGGGGUCUGGAGUGCAGCAGAGGUAGGCGGAAUUCGUGGUGUAGCGGUGAAAUGCUUAGAUAUCACGAAGAACUCCGGUUGCGAAGGCAGCUUACUGGACUGUAACUGACGCUGAUGCUCGAAAGUGUGGGUAUCAAACAGGAUUAGAUACCCCAGUAGUC
RNAcentral lists this ribosomal RNA (460 nucleotides) under uncultured bacterium. RNAcentral describes it as "partial 16S ribosomal RNA". It matches the Rfam family "Bacterial small subunit ribosomal RNA", at positions 338 to 795 of the family's 1533-position model. The record is from RNAcentral.